GAUGAACGCUGGCGGCGUGCCUAAUACAUGCAAGUCGAGCGAACAGAUGAGGAGCUUGCUCCUCUGACGUUAGCGGCGGACGGGUGAGUAACACGUGGAUAACCUACCUAUAAGACUGGGAUAACUUCGGGAAACCGGAGCUAAUACCGGAUAAUAUAUUGAACCGCAUGGUUCAAUAGUGAAAGACGGUUUUGCUGUCACUUAUAGAUGGAUCCGCGCCGCAUUAGCUAGUUGGUAAGGUAACGGCUUACCAAGGCGACGAUGCGUAGCCGACCUGAGAGGGGGAUCGGCCACACUGGAACUGGGACACGGUCCAGACUCCUACGGGAGGCAGCAGUAGGGAAUCUUCCGCAAUGGGCGAAAGCCUGACGGAGCAACGCCGCGUGAGUGAUGAAGGUCUUCGGAUCGUAAAACUCUGUUAUUAGGGAAGAACAAAUGUGUAAGUAACUAUGCACGUCUUGACGGUACCUAAUCAGAAAGCCACGGCUAACUACGUG
RNAcentral lists this ribosomal RNA (497 nucleotides) under uncultured bacterium. RNAcentral's name for it is "partial 16S ribosomal RNA". It matches the Rfam family "Bacterial small subunit ribosomal RNA", at positions 28 to 507 of the family's 1533-position model. The record is from RNAcentral.